Mustela putorius furo (domestic ferret) is the source of this 109-nucleotide small nuclear RNA. Lineage: Eukaryota; Metazoa; Chordata; Mammalia; Carnivora; Mustelidae. The record is from Ensembl.
GUGCUUAUUUUGGCAGCAUAGAUAUUAAAAUUGGAAUGAUACGGAGAAGAUUUAGCAUGACCCCCUACACAAGGAUGACGCACAAAUUCUUGAAGCAUUCCGGGUUUAA